UUGUUCAAAUGGACUAUAUAUGAUCUACAUUUCUGUAUAUAAAUAAAUGGUUCAAAGCAAAAUCCAAGAUUACAACGACAAUAGAAAAAUUAAUAACAUGGUGAUAAUUGUUCCUUGAAGGUUGUUCAUUAUAGAUAACACCUACUGUAUGUUUAAUUUAAAACCUACAUUGUAACUAUAACUAGCUCAUUUCUCGAACUAUUUUCUACUGUAACAGAUGAGAUAGAAAAUUAGAGAAACCUGACUGACAACCGCAAUAGAAUGGAUCGGAGAGCAAUUGGACCCCUCAAGGUUGCAGUAGUGAAAGAAAUAUCCCAACAAUUCCAUCCCUCCUUAGAGCUGCAAUCAAUAGACAGAUGUGGCCAACGUGCGAGAAUCCAAUUCCAAUAGUACAAGCUCUAAGACUGAUCACUAGAAGUCUGCAGGUCACACUGUUGGUAACAUCCACCAUCUUACAAGGAGCACCAUCAAUAAUCUUAUAAUUAGAAAUCCAUUUAAGGGUGAUAGCAGCGAGAACUGGACACAAGAAAUGAGACUAGCGAGAUCACCAAGCAAAUGACUGCGCCAUUGUAGAGACAAUUGGAAUUUUUGAAUAAACUAGGGUCAGGGUAAAAGAUCAGAACCCACAGCCGGAAUAGUGAAAACAAGAAGAACAUAACAUUUGCGUACACGAUGACUUCAUUAAAUCUUUUGUCACUCCACAUGAUCAAGUUGUCGCGUUUCU
Molecule: long non-coding RNA, 724 nt
Filed under: Aquilegia coerulea
Lineage: Eukaryota; Viridiplantae; Streptophyta; Magnoliopsida; Ranunculales; Ranunculaceae
Description: long non-coding RNA (ACOE_LNC000650)
Source: RNAcentral